Non-coding RNA from Pelobates cultripes (western spadefoot toad), 387 nucleotides. The record is from the annotation of a GenBank genome assembly. NCBI's taxonomy places the organism in Eukaryota, Metazoa, Chordata, Amphibia, Anura, Pelobatidae.
CGCCAAAUUACUUAUUUACCUCUGUAGUUAUUGCAUUUGGGUUCAACUUAUACGGGCACAUGGUUUUGGCAUGAGCCCUAAAGCAUGUGGCGCAUACGUGUAGUAAUCUGCAGUCAUGAAAAUGAUAUACCCCUGUAUUCAAAUUAUUACCGAUUUGUGGGUAAUUACAUGGGUAGUGAGGGGUGGGGGGGAAGGUGAGGUGGGGGGCCUACCCUGUGAGUUGAUAGAUGUGAGUACUUGUGCAAACCCUAUGGGAGGAGGAUCUAUGUCUAUCAUUAAUGGACUGAAGAGAUGACAGAAUGGUGUUUAGAGUUCCUAGUAUAUCUGAGCUGUGUCCCUGUGAGCUGGUACCCAGCCCAGGAUCCUCAGGACGCGCUGUAAGCAGCU